This 305-nucleotide long non-coding RNA is filed under the name Mytilus galloprovincialis (Mediterranean mussel). Lineage: Eukaryota; Metazoa; Mollusca; Bivalvia; Mytilida; Mytilidae. The record is from RNAcentral.
UGGGGUAUUGAAACAACCGAAGCCAAAAAAGUAAGAUUAGGUAAAAUAAGCGACUUAACAACUGUUAUUCGUCCUAUCAUGGUUAAAUUUCUUUUUUCCCAAUCAAGUAUUAAUUUUUUUGUCUGUUUCAUUGUUUUUUCAAUAUUUAAUUUGUCACAUUCACUUUUAUCUAAUCCAAAGUAAACACCUAGACUUUUAAUUGGUUCUUUGCUCCAGUGUAUAUUUUCAAUUUUUUCUUUACAAUGUUUAAGUCUACCUAACCAUAUACCUUCUGUUUUAGAUUUAUUCAGUUUCAAACCAGAAAG